CCUACGGGAGGCAGCAGUGGGGAAUAUUGCGCAAUGGGCGAAAGCCUGACGCAGCGACGCCGCGUGAGGGAUGAAGGUCUUCGGAUCGUAAACCUCUGUCAGCAGGGAAGAACGGUCACUGUGCUAAUCAGCAGUGAAUUGACGGUACCUGCAAAGGAAGCACCGGCUAACUCCGUGCCAGCAGCCGCGGUAAUACGGAGGGUGCGAGCGUUAAUCGGAAUUACUGGGCGUAAAGCGCUCGUAGGCGGUAUGUCAAGUCAAGGGUGAAAUCCCCGCGCUCAACGUGGGAACUGCAUUUGAAACUGGCAGACUGGAGUGUGUGAGAGGAUGGUGGAAUUCGAGGUGUAGGAGUGAAAUCCGUAGAUAUCUGGAGGAACAUCGGUGGCGAAGGCGACUAUCUGGCACAUAACUGACGCUGAGGAGCGAAAGCGUGGGUAGCAAACAGGAUUAGAUACCCGUGUAGUC
RNAcentral lists this ribosomal RNA (465 nucleotides) under uncultured bacterium. RNAcentral's name for it is "partial 16S ribosomal RNA". It matches the Rfam family "Bacterial small subunit ribosomal RNA", at positions 338 to 795 of the family's 1533-position model. The record is from RNAcentral.